GUGAGGAAUAUUGGUCAAUGGGCGAGAGCCUGAACCAGCCAAGUCGCGUGAGGGACGAAUGGUCUAUGGCCUGUAAACCUCUUUUGUCAAGGAAGAAUAAGGAUGACGAGUCAUUCGAUGCCAGUACUUGACGAAUAAGCAUCGGCUAACUCCGUGCCAGCAGCCGCGGUAAUACGGGGGAUGCGAGCGUUAUCCGGAUUUAUUGGGUUUAAAGGGUGCGUAGGCGGCCUUUUAAGUCAGCGGUGAAAGUCUGUGGCUCAACCAUAGAAUUGCCGUUGAAACUGGGGGGCUUGAGUAUGUUUGAGGCAGGCGGAAUGCGUGGUGUAGCGGUGAAAUGCAUAGAUAUCACGCAGAACCCCGAUUGCGAAGGCAGCCUGCCAAGCCAUUACUGACGCUGAUGCACGAAAGCGUGGGGAUCAAACAGGA
RNAcentral lists this ribosomal RNA (426 nucleotides) under uncultured bacterium. RNAcentral describes it as "bacterial SSU rRNA". It matches the Rfam family "Bacterial small subunit ribosomal RNA", at positions 354 to 777 of the family's 1533-position model. The record is from RNAcentral.